CUAAUUCCACCGCGGCGGGAGCCGGGGAGCAGGAAGGCGUGGGAGUGAGCCGCUCGUUCAUAGAGACGAACAAGGAACUGAACUGGAGUAUCUGCUCCAUCCGAAAUCUAGACUUAAAGCCCGGGGAUUCAGUCGUGGUAACACCCUCCAGUUUUGUUCUAAAGGCUAAAAAAUGAAAGGGCCGUAGUCAUUGAUGUGAUAGCAAGAAGGGAUACCACUGAAUAUAAUGUAUACGUAUGGAGUCCUCAUAGGUUGUAAAACUGAGCCUCAGUCUGGUAAGAAGACUAAUUAGUGAAGGAAAGGGAAAAGGCAAUUCAGACAGAAUAGGAUGCGUGUUAGAAAGUGAUGAUGUGAACUCAAAUUGUAGAGCCAAAAUUCAAGCUAGAAGCAGACUGGAGAGGUAGGUACAUGCUAGGUCAUAAGGACUAGGUGUACUCCGCUGAGAAGUUUGAAUGGAAUUCACUUAAAGAUGCUAAACCAUUAUAGGAUUUUUACUCGAAAAAGGCAUUAACAGUUAAAUUUACGUUUUUGUUUGUUAUUCUGUCUGUACUAUGGAAGACACACGACUGGACAGCAACAAUAGAAGAAUGAUUAAAGGGAACAGAACAGUUGUUGGGAGACAACUGCUGUGCUGCAGGCGAAUGUAUGCUCACUGCUCAGUGGGGUUUGACUGUUUACGUCGCCAGGGACUGUAGCCGUCCAGUCUCCUCUGUCCAUGAAAUUUCCCAGGCAAGGAUAUUGGAGUGAGUUGUCACUGCCUUCUCCAAAGGAUCUUCCCCACCCAGGGAUCGAACCCAGGGCUCCUACAUUGGGAGGUGGAUUCUUCACCCCUGAACCAAAAUGUCUCUUAAAUAGAAGUGAACUACUACAGAGGGUUAAGAAUGAAUGGACUAAAUGUCCAUCAACAUAUGAAGGGAUAAAGAUGUGGUACAUUAUAUACAAUGGAAUACUAGCCGUCAACAAGAAUGAAAUAAUGCCAUUUCCAACAAGGCAGAUGGACUGAAAGAUUGCCAUAGCAACCAAAGUCAGUCAAAAAGAGGAACACAAGUACCUUAUCGUAUCGC
This 1064-nucleotide long non-coding RNA is filed under the name Capra hircus (goat). RNAcentral describes it as "lncRNA (ENSCHIG00010013875.1)". Lineage: Eukaryota; Metazoa; Chordata; Mammalia; Artiodactyla; Bovidae. The record is from RNAcentral.